CGCGGGGUAGAGCAGUUGGUAGCUCGUCGGGCUCAUAACCCGGAGGUCGUUGGUUCAAGUCCAGCCCCCGCAA
This 73-nucleotide transfer RNA is filed under the name Dysosmobacter welbionis. It matches the Rfam family "tRNA". From Rfam's summary of the family: Transfer RNA (tRNA) molecules are approximately 80 nucleotides in length. Their secondary structure includes four short double-helical elements and three loops (D, anti-codon, and T loops). Further hydrogen bonds mediate the characteristic L-shaped molecular structure. tRNAs have two regions of fundamental functional importance: the anti-codon, which is responsible for specific mRNA codon recognition, and the 3' end, to which the tRNAs corresponding amino acid is attached (by aminoacyl-tRNA synthetases). tRNAs cope with the degeneracy of the genetic code in two manners: having more than one tRNA (with a specific anti-codon) for a particular amino acid; and 'wobble' base-pairing, i.e. permitting non-standard base-pairing at the 3rd anti-codon position. The record is from Rfam by way of RNAcentral. RNAcentral also lists the same sequence under 1 other name. Lineage: Bacteria; Bacillati; Bacillota; Clostridia; Eubacteriales; Oscillospiraceae.